This 86-nucleotide transfer RNA is filed under the name Acidobacteriota bacterium. Its description in RNAcentral is "Acidobacteria bacterium (soil metagenome) tRNA-Tyr". It matches the Rfam family "tRNA". From Rfam's summary of the family: Transfer RNA (tRNA) molecules are approximately 80 nucleotides in length. Lineage: Bacteria; Pseudomonadati; Acidobacteriota. The record is from RNAcentral.
GGGCAGGUGGCGGAGCGGUCAAUCGCAGCAGACUGUAAAUCUGCCGCCUCAGGGCUACGGAGGUUCGAAUCCUCCCCUGCCCACCA